This is a small nuclear RNA of Erigeron canadensis, 101 nucleotides long. NCBI's taxonomy places the organism in Eukaryota, Viridiplantae, Streptophyta, Magnoliopsida, Asterales, Asteraceae. The record is from RefSeq and is a predicted model, not a curated record.
CUGAUGCUCUAAUAAGGUUAAAUAUAAAAUGAUCUAGAGAAGAUUAGUAUGCCCUUACGUAAGGAUGACACCCACAAAUCGAGAAAAAGGUCCAAAAAUUU